UACGGGGGGGGCAAGCGUUGUUCGGAAUUACUGGGCGUAAAGGGCUCGUAGGCGGCCAACUAAGUCAGACGUGAAAUCCCUCGGCUUAACCGGGGAACUGCGUCUGAUACUGGAUGGCUUGAGGUUGGGAGAGGGAUGCGGAAUUCCAGGUGUAGCGGUGAAAUGCGUAGAUAUCAGGAGGAACGCCGGCGGCGAAAGCGGCGCACUGGACCUCUACUGACGCUGAGGCGCGAAAGCCAGGGGAGCAAACGGG
Molecule: ribosomal RNA, 253 nt
Filed under: uncultured bacterium
Lineage: Bacteria
Description: partial 16S ribosomal RNA
Rfam family: Bacterial small subunit ribosomal RNA
Source: RNAcentral